GUAGGGGGGCAAGCGUUGUCCGGAUUAUUGGGGCGUAAAGAGCACGUAGGCGGUUUGCCAAGUCAGAUGUGAAAUCCCGCAGCUUAACUGCGGAACUGCAUUUGAUACUGGCAGGCUAGAGUACAGGAGAGGGAAGCGGAAUUCCUAGUGUAGCGGUGAAAUGCGCAGAUAUUAGGAAGAACACCGGUGGCGAAGGCGGCUUCCUGGACUGUUACUGACGCUGAGGUGCGAAAGCUAGGGGAGCAAACAGGAUUAGAUACCCUGGUAGUCCUAGCCGUAAACGAUGGGCACUAGGUGUAGGGGGUAUCAACUCCCCCUGUGCCGCAGCUAACGCAUUAAGUGCCCCGCCUGGGGAGUACGGUCGCAAGACUA
RNAcentral lists this ribosomal RNA (372 nucleotides) under uncultured organism. Its description in RNAcentral is "partial 16S ribosomal RNA". It matches the Rfam family "Bacterial small subunit ribosomal RNA", at positions 526 to 896 of the family's 1533-position model. The record is from RNAcentral.